UGAAAGAGAUGAUGAAUCAAACGGUAACACUUUUGAUUGGUCGGAAAAGAGAAGCAGUUCGCAGCUGAAGAGAGCUCAAGAGAGAGAGAGCAUAAUCCCUAAACGUUGAAAAGGAAGUAUUGGAACAGGAUGGUCUGUUAACAAUUACCCAACAAGGAAUCUGAAGUUUGAGAUGCAUAAGAUUGUAAUGGUGAACGGUGAGAUGAGCCUUGAACCUGGAAGUAUGGGGAUGAAGGAGUGGCUGAAAGAGAAUGUAAAGGAGGAGGAAUAUGUGGUGAUGAAGGUAGAGGUUGAGGUGUUGGAGGAGAUGAUGAGGAGCAAGACGAUAAAAUGGUGGAUAAGUUUGCUUGGAAUGCAAGCCAACAAGGCUAAGGGGGAAAACAUGGAGACAGACGUGAGAGUGAAUUAUUUAUCAAACCAUGCGUUUUUUUUCUUUACAUUAUCUGCUUUUUUUUUCUUUCGUUUUGUUGUCAGAAUUGUUUUAAUCAUCUUAUGAUCAUUUUGUAUUGUUGUGUUUUUAGUAUUUUGUGGUGUUGUAAGUUUGGGGAUCUAAUGAACUUAAUUAAUUAUGUUAAA
Long non-coding RNA from Brassica napus (rape), 576 nucleotides. RefSeq lists it as uncharacterized. The transcript has 2 exons. The record is from RefSeq and is a predicted model, not a curated record. NCBI's taxonomy places the organism in Eukaryota, Viridiplantae, Streptophyta, Magnoliopsida, Brassicales, Brassicaceae.